Molecule: unclassified non-coding RNA, 229 nt
Filed under: plant metagenome
Description: partial contains small subunit ribosomal RNA, internal transcribed spacer 1, and 5.8S ribosomal RNA
Source: RNAcentral
UCUCCGUAGGUGAACCUGCGGAGGGAUCAUUACAGGGUUCAUGCCCUACCGGGUAGAUCUCCCACCCUAUGUUAUUAUUACUUUGUUGCUUUGGCGGGCCGUUAGGCUCCGGCCCGACUACCGGCCCCGGCUGGUAAGCGCCCGCCAGAGGACCCAAAACCCUGAAUAUUAGUGUCGUCUGAGUACUAUAUAAUAGUUGAAACUUUCAACAACGGAUCUCUUGGUUCUG